This 257-nucleotide ribosomal RNA is filed under the name uncultured bacterium. Its description in RNAcentral is "partial 16S ribosomal RNA". It matches the Rfam family "Bacterial small subunit ribosomal RNA", at positions 524 to 777 of the family's 1533-position model. The record is from RNAcentral.
UACGUAGGGGGCAAGCGUUGUCCGGAAUCAUUUGGGCGUAAAGCGCGUGUAGGCGGCUCGAUAAGUCUGCUGUGAAAGUUCAGGGCUCAACCCUUGAAAUGCCGGUGGAAACUGUCGGGCUAGAGUCCGGAAGAGGCGAGUGGAAUUCCUGGUGUAGCGGUGAAAUGCGCAGAUAAUCAGGAGGAACACCAAUGGCGAAGGCAGCUCGCUGGGACGGUACUGACGCUGAGACGCGAAAGCGUGGGGAGCAAAGCAGG